Molecule: small nuclear RNA, 114 nt
Organism: Bombina bombina (fire-bellied toad)
Lineage: Eukaryota; Metazoa; Chordata; Amphibia; Anura; Bombinatoridae
Product: U5 spliceosomal RNA
Exons: 1
Source: RefSeq, a predicted model, not a curated record
AUACUCUGGUUUCUCUUCAGAUCAAAUAAAUAUUUUGCCUUUUACUAAAGAUUUCCAUGGAGAGGUACAACCAUGAGUUUUCAUCCAAUUUUUUUUUUUUGAAGCUCUACCGCA